RNAcentral lists this long non-coding RNA (239 nucleotides) under Malus domestica (apple). RNAcentral describes it as "long non-coding RNA (MDOM_LNC004218)". The record is from RNAcentral. Lineage: Eukaryota; Viridiplantae; Streptophyta; Magnoliopsida; Rosales; Rosaceae.
AAAAUAGAAAAGGUCAGUGGACCAAAGUUUAUAAUAAUAAUACUAGUAAUAGGAAAACCAUUUUCAUUGUGAACAUACUAACCCCCUGUUUUGAAAACAUAUAUAAUACUACAUAUAGGUUUUAUAAAAACCCUAGCAUGCCACACAAAAUCUUCGUAAAACAUGUACGUUUAAAAUCAUGCUCAAUAAUGCUGAAAACGUCGCUUGAAGGCAAAUCAGUAAAUCUCAUCAGUGAAGUA